AACGCUGGCGGCAUGCUUUACACAUGCAAGUCGAACGGUAACAGGCCGCAAGGUGCUGACGAGUGGCGAACGGGUGAGUAAUGCAUCGGAACGUGCCCAGUCGUGGGGGAUAACGCAGCGAAAGCUGCGCUAAUACCGCAUACGCACUGAGGUGGAAAGCAGGGGAUCGCAAGACCUUGCGCUAUACGAGCGGCCGAUGUCAGAUUAGCUAGUUGGUAGGGUAAAGGCCUACUAAGGCGACGAUCUGUAGCGGGUCUGAGAGGAUGAUCCGCCACACUGGGACUGAGACACGGCCCAGACUCCUACGGGAGGCAGCAGUGGGGAAUUUUGGACAAUGGGCGAAAGCCUGAUCCAGCCAUGCCGCGUGAGUGAAGAAGGCCUUCGGGUUGUAAAGCUCUUUCGGCUGGGAAGAAAUCGCACAGGCUAAUACUCUGUGUGGAUGACGGUACCAGCACAAGAAGCACCGGCUAACUACGUG
RNAcentral lists this ribosomal RNA (478 nucleotides) under uncultured bacterium. RNAcentral describes it as "bacterial SSU rRNA". It matches the Rfam family "Bacterial small subunit ribosomal RNA", at positions 32 to 507 of the family's 1533-position model. The record is from RNAcentral.